This 400-nucleotide ribosomal RNA is filed under the name uncultured bacterium. Its description in RNAcentral is "bacterial SSU rRNA". It matches the Rfam family "Bacterial small subunit ribosomal RNA", at positions 355 to 770 of the family's 1533-position model. The record is from RNAcentral.
UAGGGAAUAUUGCACAAUGGAGGAAACUCUGAUGCAGCGACGCCGCGUGAGUGAUGAAGGACUUCGGUUCGUAAAGCUCUGUCGCAGGGGAAUAAAUUUUGAAGGUACCCUGCAAGAAAGGAUCGGCUAACUUCGUGCCAGCAGCCGCGGUAAGACGAGGGAUCCUAGCGUUGUUCGGAAUCAUUGGGCGUAAAGCGGGUGUAGGUGGUUUAUUAAGUCAGAUGUGAAAGCCCUGGGCUCAACCCAGGAAGUGCAUUUGAUACUGAUAAACUUGAGUGUGGGAGAGGCUAGUAGAAUUCCUGGUGUAGUGGUGAAAUACGUAGAUAUCAGGAGGAAUACCGGUGGCGAAGGCGGCUAGCUGGCCCAACACUGACACUGAGACCCGAAAGCGUGGGGAUCA